AUAGUUAUUCCAGUAAGAGGAUAUUAAGCUCCCUCGAACAGGCCCUGUAUAUCUAACAGGCUCUGGCCUCCAGCCUCCCUGACACAGCUUUGUUACGCUGCAGCACACCCCUGGCCUCCUAGCAACUCCAAGAAGGGAGAGGAGGGAUGGGGGAGGUAGGGAUAAUCUGGUGUCAUUAAACACACAGGCCUUUGUGGAGGUUACUGUACACCAACAGCAGGAAGCUUUUUCUUCCUUCUGAGAGCAUAGGGAGCCUAUAUGAUUUUGCUUUGUUUUUUUUUUUUUUUUCUACCCCUGUACUCUUGGCUGUUUUACCUCCAGAGCUGCUGGUGAUAAGUUCGUAAAGGAGGACCUCCUUAAACCAUUUGUUAAACCAUAUGAGACUGUUCCUAGUACUUGUUUUAAACUAUUUUACAUUAUUUUUAAUGUAAUAAACACAUUUAUAAUACUA
Molecule: long non-coding RNA, 451 nt
Filed under: Pongo abelii (Sumatran orangutan)
Lineage: Eukaryota; Metazoa; Chordata; Mammalia; Primates; Hominidae
Description: lincRNA
Source: RNAcentral